AACGUAGGAGACAAACGUUAUCCGGAGUUACUGGGCGUAAAGGGCGUGUAGGUGGUAGUGUAAGUCUGGCGUGAAAUUUUUCGGCUUAACCGGGAAAGGUCGUCGGAUACUGCACAACUAGAGGACGGUAGAGGCGUGUGGAAUUCCGGGUGUAGUGGUGAAAUGCGUAGAGAUCCGGAGGAACACCAGUGGCGAAGGCGACACGCUGGGCCGUACCUGACACUGAUGCGCGACAGCAUGGGUAGCAAACAGG
RNAcentral lists this ribosomal RNA (253 nucleotides) under uncultured bacterium. RNAcentral's name for it is "partial 16S ribosomal RNA". It matches the Rfam family "Bacterial small subunit ribosomal RNA", at positions 524 to 776 of the family's 1533-position model. The record is from RNAcentral.